GCCGGGCAUGGUGGUGCAUGCCUGUAAUCCCAGCUACUCGGGAGGCUGAGGCAGGAGAAUUGCUUGAACCUGGGAGGUGGAGGUUGCAGUGAGCCGAAAUCGCGCCAUUGCACUCCAGCCUGGGUGACAGAGUGAAACUCUGUCUCAA
Molecule: non-coding RNA, 148 nt
Filed under: Nomascus leucogenys (northern white-cheeked gibbon)
Lineage: Eukaryota; Metazoa; Chordata; Mammalia; Primates; Hylobatidae
Source: Rfam by way of RNAcentral